GUAAGUCCAGGCAUUUGGGUGCGGUCAUCCACAGGUAAGACCGUCCAAAGGACGGCGCCGCACCCCUCCCGCAAGGGAGUGUGCCUGGGAGGAGGA
Molecule: non-coding RNA, 96 nt
Filed under: unclassified sequences
Description: DUF1874 RNA
Rfam family: DUF1874 RNA
About the family: Hot springs metagenome only. Environment (Bison Hot Springs, Yellowstone)
Source: RNAcentral